GUGCCCGUCCACCGAACGGUCGGCAGGCGAUCCGCGUCGGUCGUGCUGGGUGGUAUGGUUCCCCAGAGGCCGGUUCUUGUGCUGCCUACCCCUUCAGGGGAAGAGUUCCAAACUCGAUGUAAGCCUCCAUCCGGCGCCCUCCAGAGGGCGCGGGAGGACAACGGAGCACCCCCCGCGUUCCACCGAGCCUCCUCGGUCGUGUGGCCCGCGGGGACGUGCGAUGCUCUCGGACCCAGUGAACGCCGUGGGCGAGGACUCACGUCCCGGUCCCAAGUGAAGCAACGGUACAACGGAUGACGGCCGCUCCCGCCCCCCGACCGCCCCGGCGGCGCGGGGGCGAAGGCGCGGCGUCGCUGAGGAAUGCU
This 365-nucleotide unclassified non-coding RNA is filed under the name Acacia brachybotrya. Its description in RNAcentral is "partial external transcribed spacer". Lineage: Eukaryota; Viridiplantae; Streptophyta; Magnoliopsida; Fabales; Fabaceae. The record is from RNAcentral.